AGCGAACGCUGGCGGCAGGCUUAACACAUGCAAGUCGAGCGGCCACUUUCGGGUGGCUGCGGCGUACGGGUGAGGAACGCGGGGGAACGGGGCCACAGGUUCGGAAUAACUCAGGGGAGCUUGAGCUAAUAGCGGAAACGCCCCUAUGGGGGAAGGCUUGCUGCGGGAGGAUCGGCCCGUGCUUGGGUAGCUAGGUGGUGAGGUAACGGCGCACCAAGGCGACGAUCAGUAGCUGGUCUGGGAGGAUGCUCAGCCAACCUGGGCCUGAGACACGGCCCAGACUCCUACGGGAGGCGGCAGUGGGGAAUAUUGGCCAAUGGGCGCAAGUCUGAUCCAGCCAUGCCGCGUGAGUGAUGAAGGCCUUAGAGUUGUAACGCUCUUUUAUCCGGGACGUUUAUGACGGUACCGGAGGAAUAAGCCCCGGCUAACUUCGUU
RNAcentral lists this ribosomal RNA (435 nucleotides) under uncultured bacterium. RNAcentral describes it as "partial 16S ribosomal RNA". It matches the Rfam family "Bacterial small subunit ribosomal RNA", at positions 28 to 507 of the family's 1533-position model. The record is from RNAcentral.